This is a non-coding RNA of Kogia breviceps (pygmy sperm whale), 73 nucleotides long. Lineage: Eukaryota; Metazoa; Chordata; Mammalia; Artiodactyla; Physeteridae. The record is from the annotation of a RefSeq genome assembly.
UCCCUGGUGGUCCAGUGGUUAGGACUCUGCGCUGCCAACACAGGGGGCCCAGGUUCAAUCCUUGGUCGGGGAA